RNAcentral lists this unclassified non-coding RNA (200 nucleotides) under Amanita sp. RNAcentral describes it as "partial internal transcribed spacer 2". The record is from RNAcentral. Lineage: Eukaryota; Fungi; Basidiomycota; Agaricomycetes; Agaricales; Amanitaceae.
UUAAGUUCAGCGGGUAGUCCUACCUGAUUUGAGGUCAAGUUUAUCAUAUUGUCUUAUAAAGACAGUUAGACGGCAGAGGAUCAUGAAGCAUCUCUUGGCAUAGAUAGUUUAUCACACCAAUAAGAGUGCAAAGCUCCUCAACUAAUGCUUUUCAGAAGAGCCCACUACUUUACCAGCAGCCGGCAACUCCCAAUGUCCAA